This 546-nucleotide long non-coding RNA is filed under the name Androctonus crassicauda. Lineage: Eukaryota; Metazoa; Arthropoda; Arachnida; Scorpiones; Buthidae. The record is from RNAcentral.
AUACCAUCUUAAAGGAUUCAGUAUUCCAUUGUGUAUUAUUAAAAUUAUCAUUAUGAGUCAUUUUUGACUUAUGAUGGAGUUAUUAAAACAUAAAGUUAAGGUAAAUCAAUUAAGCAUCGUAAGUCAAAGACUAUCUGUAUUGUGGUAUGUAUUAGGAUGCAAAAAUUAAACAAUAUGAAUCUUUUAUUUAAUUGACUGCACCACAGUUACUAUUUUUUUAUAUUAACAGAUUUAUUAUGAUAUGCAGGUAGUCCUUGAUUUAUGACGGAAUUCAGUUCCAAGAAUUUUGAAUCCUGCCAUCAUAAGUCAAAAACAGUCAGAAGUUGGAAAUACCCAAAAUUUAUGGAUUGCUCACUAUCAAUAUUUUAUUAUUACAUUCCACUUUAUCAUAAUAAAUUUAAGAAAACCACAAAAAUACAAGAACCACAUAAAAAAAGAAUGGUUUCCUAUAUUAGACCAUUAGAUCAAGAAUCAGACCCAGUUCAAUUACAUUGACCAAUAAUAGAAUUUAUCAUUAACAUCACUGUUAUAAAUCAAGGAUUACCU